ACGCUCGACACCUACUGGAGGCAGCAGUGGGGAAUAUUGGGCAAUGGGCGCAAGCCUGACCCAGCAACGCCGCGUGAAGGAAGAAGGCCCUCGGGUUGUAAACUUCUUUUGUCAGGGACGAAGCAAGUGACGGUACCUGACGAAUAAGCCACGGCUAACUACGUGCUAGCAGCCGCGGUAAUCUGAGCGGGCUGGCAAGGC
Molecule: ribosomal RNA, 201 nt
Filed under: uncultured bacterium
Lineage: Bacteria
Description: partial 16S ribosomal RNA
Rfam family: Bacterial small subunit ribosomal RNA
Source: RNAcentral